RNAcentral lists this ribosomal RNA (402 nucleotides) under uncultured bacterium. Its description in RNAcentral is "bacterial SSU rRNA". It matches the Rfam family "Bacterial small subunit ribosomal RNA", at positions 355 to 774 of the family's 1533-position model. The record is from RNAcentral.
UCGGGAAUUUUGGGCAAUGGGCGAAAGCCUGACCCAGCAACGCCGCGUGAGGGAUGAAGUAUUUCGGUAUGUAAACCUCGAAAGAAUGGGAAGAAUAAAUGACGGUACCAUUUAUAAGCUCCGGCUAACUACGUGCCAGCAGCCGCGGUAAUACGUAGGGAGCAAGCGUUGUUCGGAUUUACUGGGCGUAAAGGGCGCGUAGGCGGCAAUUCAAGUCAGCUGUGAAAUCUCUGGGCUUAACCCGGAACGGCCAGCUGAUACUGCUUUGCUAGAGUGCGGAAGGGGCAAUCGGAAUUCUUGGUGUAGCGGUAAAAUGCGUAGAUAUCAAGAGGAACACCUGAGGUGAAGACGGGUUGCUGGGCCGACACUGACGCUGAGGCGCGAAAGCCAGGGGAGCAAACG